GAUGAACGCUGGCGGCGUGCCUAAUACAUGCAAGUCGAGCGAACGGACGAGAAGCUUGCUUCUCUGAUGUUAGCGGCGGACGGGUGAGUAACACGUGGAUAACCUACCUAUAAGACUGGGAUAACUUCGGGAAACCGGAGCUAAUACCGGAUAAUAUUUUGAACCGCAUGGUUCAAAAGUGAAAGACGGUCUUGCUGUCACUUAUAGAUGGAUCCGCGCUGCAUUAGCUAGUUGGUAAGGUAACGGCUUACCAAGGCAACGAUGCAUAGCCGACCUGAGAGGGUGAUCGGCCACACUGGAACUGAGACACGGUCCAGACUCCUAAGGGAGGCAGCAGUAGGGAAACUUCCGCAAUGGGCGAAAGCCUGACGGAGCAACGCCGCGUGAAUGAUGAAGGUCUUCGGAUCGUAAAACUCUGUUAUUGGGGAAGAACAUAUGUGUAAGUAACUGUGCACAUCUUGACGGUACCUAAUUAGAAAGCCACGGCUAACUACGUG
RNAcentral lists this ribosomal RNA (497 nucleotides) under uncultured bacterium. RNAcentral's name for it is "partial 16S ribosomal RNA". It matches the Rfam family "Bacterial small subunit ribosomal RNA", at positions 28 to 507 of the family's 1533-position model. The record is from RNAcentral.